Molecule: ribosomal RNA, 253 nt
Filed under: uncultured bacterium
Lineage: Bacteria
Description: partial 16S ribosomal RNA
Rfam family: Bacterial small subunit ribosomal RNA
Source: RNAcentral
UACGGAGGGGGCAAGCGUUACUCGGAAUUAUUGGGCGUAAAGGGCGCGUAGGCGGUCGUGUGCGUCGAGGGUGAAAUCCCCGGGCUUAACCCGGGAGCUGCCUUCGAUACGGCACGGCUUGAGUCCGGGAGAGGGGAGCAGAAUUCCCAGUGUAGCGGUGAAAUGCGUAGAUAUUGGGAGGAAUACCGGUGGCGAAGGCGGCUCCCUGGACCGGUACUGACGCUGAGGCGCGAAAGCGUGGGUAGCAAACAGG